This is a long non-coding RNA of Cygnus atratus (black swan), 522 nucleotides long. RefSeq lists it as uncharacterized. NCBI's taxonomy places the organism in Eukaryota, Metazoa, Chordata, Aves, Anseriformes, Anatidae. The record is from RefSeq and is a predicted model, not a curated record. The transcript has 2 exons.
CAGGGCUCCUGGCUCCGCGGAGGGCAGGUCGCGGCCCAGCGCGUGCGCUCGGUUCCCCCCUCGCCGCCCCUUCCGCGGGCCGGAACGGCUCUCUGCUCACUUGCGCUCCUGGCAGCGCAUGCCGUCCCUUUGCACUGGGAGUGUGAGCCUGUCUUAAGAAACUGGCAGAAACUGGUCCUGCGGACGGACAAGAGCCAAGGAGCGACUGAGUCUGCGCGAAGGCAAGAGGUCAACUAGCGGUGACGAGGAAGAGUCGUCAACCUUCAUCCCCCCGACGACCACCACCAGGAGACACUGCGCAAGCGAAGAUGGGAGGAGUUUAUGGAAAUAACUCCUUGGAACCAAUUUUAAUAUGAAGCGGGGACAGGUUAUGAAUAGCUAUAGGCGUACUGUGAAACUUCAUGCGUACGUAACUCUUUGCUGCAUAGAACCAUGGCAAAUUGCUGCGUCACGUGCGCACGACCUUGGUGGGACUGCCCCCCGUGCUGCCCGGCGCUGAAUAAACAUACCUACUUUACCGUC